RNAcentral lists this ribosomal RNA (252 nucleotides) under uncultured bacterium. Its description in RNAcentral is "partial 16S ribosomal RNA". It matches the Rfam family "Bacterial small subunit ribosomal RNA", at positions 524 to 776 of the family's 1533-position model. The record is from RNAcentral.
UACGUAGGUGGCAAGCGUUAUCCGGAUUUAUUGGGUUUAAAGGGUGCGUAGGCGGAGUGCCAAGUCAGCGGUAAAAAUUCGGGGCUCAACCCCGUCGUGCCGUUGAAACUGGCGCCCUUGAGUGGGCGAGAAGUAUGCGGAAUGCGUGGUGUAGCGGUGAAAUGCAUAGAUAUCACGCAGAACCCCGAUUGCGAAGGCAGCAUACCGGCGCCCGACUGACGCUGAAGCACGAAAGCGUGGGUAUCGAACAGG